RNAcentral lists this ribosomal RNA (252 nucleotides) under uncultured bacterium. RNAcentral describes it as "partial 16S ribosomal RNA". It matches the Rfam family "Bacterial small subunit ribosomal RNA", at positions 524 to 776 of the family's 1533-position model. The record is from RNAcentral.
UAAGUAGGUCCCGAGCGUUAUCCGGAUUUAUUGGGCGUAAAGCGAGCGCAGGCGGUUAGGUAAGUCUGAAGUGAAAAGCUGCGGCUUAACCAUAGUAUGCUUUGGAAAAUGUUUAACUUGAGUGCAGAAGGGGAGCGUGGAAUUCCAUGUGUAGCGGUGAAAUGCGUAGAUAUAUGGAGGAACACCGAUGGCGAAAGCGGCUUUCUGGUCUGUAACUGACGCUGAGGCACGAAAGUGUGGGGAGCAAACAGG